Long non-coding RNA from Salvelinus sp. IW2-2015, 349 nucleotides. RefSeq lists it as uncharacterized. NCBI's taxonomy places the organism in Eukaryota, Metazoa, Chordata, Actinopteri, Salmoniformes, Salmonidae. The record is from RefSeq and is a predicted model, not a curated record.
CAUUUUUUUAUUCAUAUGUUUUGAAUUACCCUGGCCUUCAUAGCUUACUAGCUAACCUUAGGUCUCUCCGUCAAUCAGAAGCAAGGAUGGUUCUGUGCUAUGUAUCGUAUUGUAACCACUACUCCAAUAAGUACGUCGCUGGAGCUGUGUGAUGAGUCCAUAGGAGUGCAUCUCUCAUACCAUCUGGUGCAUGGACAUCAGACAUGAGGCAUAACAUGCGGAAAAUCAGGCUCACCACGAGAAGCAGUCCAUGAUCAACGCCACCCUCAGCAAGGAGAUUUGCUGUAAGUGUAUUCUCUCUCAUUCUGGGCUUGCCUACUCACCAGACAUUUCACCCAUUGAGCAUGUU